Long non-coding RNA from Solea senegalensis (Senegalese sole), 989 nucleotides. RefSeq lists it as uncharacterized. The transcript has 2 exons. The record is from RefSeq and is a predicted model, not a curated record. Lineage: Eukaryota; Metazoa; Chordata; Actinopteri; Pleuronectiformes; Soleidae.
AAGCAGCUCAAACUCAUUACGAGUUAAACCGAGUGAAACCGAGAGUCGCAGGUGGUCGGGACAGUUUCGUGGCCAUGUGUGAGGGUCAGAGAAACACGGAGACUCCACACUGGAGCUGGUCAAACACUGGUCAUCAAGCUAACUGAAGUAGUUGUCAACAGGAGUCAAUCAUAAAUCGUUAUGUAAGCUUUUAUUUCUAUGCACAACCAAACAAGAAAUACACACAAAACUAUUUAUUUACGUUCUUUAUUCUUUGUAUAUUAUAGUUUCUCCCUCCAUUUUGGCUCUUCUUUCCUCCACCAUCAAUUCUCUCCCUCAUUUUCCUAUUUUUUUUCAUGUAUUUUUACCCUCCUUUUCUCAACUGUUCACUCCUUUACUUCCCUCCUUUCAUCCAUUGUCCCUCUCCUGUUGACCUUUCCGUCUCCUUACCUGCCCUCUUCUCUUCCUUUCCUAUAUUAAUAUUCCUCUUACUCUUGUUUAUCUACUGUCUCUCCUUUUACAGUUUCCUACCUCGUACCAUCUGCUUCCUGUUCUUGUUUUUUACUUCGUCCUCCGUUCUUUCCUCCCUCGUGUCCUGUAUUAAAGUUUUAUUAAAGUCUACAUUUCACCUCUUGUUUUCUUGCCCUCCAUUCUUUCCCUCUUUUCCCGCCGCCUGCUGUUAUGUUUUGAGUCGAUCGUUUAGGUGGGAGCUGCCCCAUGUGGAGGGAGAAAUGGACCGAGCGUUCAAAGCAUCACAGCUCCCUGACCGAGCAUUCUGUCCAUUCAUCAGCCAGCGACGGUCGGGGACGAGAGCUUCAUCAUGUGAAAGAAACAUGGACAUGACAUCCAGACGGCAGGCGCAGAUUACAGCUGAACCUCAGACACUCUCGCUGCUGCUGCUCCUUCUUCUUCAUCUUCAUCUUCAUCUUCCCUUACUACUAUAACAACCUGCUGCUCCAGAUGCAAAAUAAACGCCACAAAUCGGACAAUAAACUAUUCUUACUAAGGUU